Molecule: transfer RNA, 68 nt
Filed under: Epipedocera atra
Lineage: Eukaryota; Metazoa; Arthropoda; Insecta; Coleoptera; Cerambycidae
Description: tRNA-Gln
Source: RNAcentral
UACAUCUAAGUAUUAUUUGUACAUGGGAUUUUGAUGCCCGAGGAGUUAGUUAAUUCUAGCAGGUGUAG